Molecule: ribosomal RNA, 230 nt
Filed under: uncultured microorganism
Description: partial 16S ribosomal RNA
Rfam family: Bacterial small subunit ribosomal RNA
Source: RNAcentral
UACGAAGGGGGCUAGCGUUGUUCGGAUUUACUGGGCGUAAAGCGCACGUAGGCGGAUUGGUCAGUUAGGGGUGAAAUCCCAGAGCUCAACUCUGGAACUGCCUUUAAUACUGCCAGUCUUGAGUCCGAGAGAGGUGAGUGGAAUUCCUAGUGUAGAGGUGGAAUUCGUAGAUAUUAGGAAGAACACCAGUGGCGAAGGCGGCUCACUGGCUCGGUACUGACGCUGAGGUG